RNAcentral lists this ribosomal RNA (157 nucleotides) under Aphelenchoides paradalianensis. Its description in RNAcentral is "5.8S ribosomal RNA". It matches the Rfam family "5.8S ribosomal RNA". From Rfam's summary of the family: 5.8S ribosomal RNA (5.8S rRNA) is a component of the large subunit of the eukaryotic ribosome. It is transcribed by RNA polymerase I as part of the 45S precursor that also contains 18S and 28S rRNA. Functionally, it is thought that 5.8S rRNA may be involved in ribosome translocation. Lineage: Eukaryota; Metazoa; Nematoda; Chromadorea; Rhabditida; Aphelenchoididae. The record is from RNAcentral.
CAAGUUAUGUCGGCGAAUCACUUGGCUCAUGGGUCGAUGAAGAACGCAGUGAAUUGCGUUAAUAAGCACGAAUUACAGAUAUUAUGAGUGCCUUGUUUUCGAUUGCAUAUUGCGUCGUCGGGUUUUGCCCUUCGACAUACACGACUCAGGGUGUUUU